ACCUGGAAGAUAGCACAGUCAGUAGAGCAUGAGGCUCUUAAUCUCAGGGUUGUGGGUUUGAACCCCACGUUAGGCA
Non-coding RNA from Podarcis lilfordi (Lilford's wall lizard), 76 nucleotides. Lineage: Eukaryota; Metazoa; Chordata; Lepidosauria; Squamata; Lacertidae. The record is from the annotation of a GenBank genome assembly.